AACAAGGUCUCCGUUGGUGAACCAGCGGAGGGAUCAUUACCGAGUUUACAACUCCCAAACCCCUGUGAACAUACCAAUUGUUGCCUCGGCGGAUCAGCCCGCUCCCGGUAAAACGGGACGGCCCGCCAGAGGACCCCUAAACUCUGUUUCUAUAUGUAACUUCUGAGUAAAACCAUAAAUAAAUCAAAACUUUCAACAACGGAUCUCUUGGUUCUGGCAUCGAUGAAGAACGCAGCAAAAUGCGAUAAGUAAUGUGGAUUGCAGAAUUCAGUGAAUCAUCGAAUCUUUGAACGCACAUUGCGCCCGCCAGUAUUCUGGCGGGCAUGCCUGUUCGAGCGUCAUUUCAACCCUCAAGCCCAGCUUGGUGUUGGGACUCGCGAGUCAAAUCGCGUUCCCCAAAUUGAUUGGCGGUCACGUCGAGCUUCCAUAGCGUAGUAGUAAAACCCUCGUUACUGGUAAUCGUCGCGGCCACGCCGUUAAACCCCAACUUCUGAAUGUUGACCUCGGAUCAGGUAGGAAUACCCGCUGAACUUAAGCAUAUC
This 542-nucleotide ribosomal RNA is filed under the name uncultured eukaryote. RNAcentral describes it as "eukaryotic LSU rRNA". The stretch from base 188 to 341 matches the Rfam family "5.8S ribosomal RNA". The record is from RNAcentral.